CUCUCCGUAGUUUAGUGUGGUUUAGAGCGUCAGACUGUAAUAGGUGAAUCGAUUUGCUGUAUCUGAAAGUCGGGCGUUCGACUCGCCCCGGGGAGA
Non-coding RNA from Kwoniella newhampshirensis, 96 nucleotides. The record is from the annotation of a GenBank genome assembly. NCBI's taxonomy places the organism in Eukaryota, Fungi, Basidiomycota, Tremellomycetes, Tremellales, Cryptococcaceae.